This 497-nucleotide ribosomal RNA is filed under the name uncultured bacterium. Its description in RNAcentral is "partial 16S ribosomal RNA". It matches the Rfam family "Bacterial small subunit ribosomal RNA", at positions 28 to 507 of the family's 1533-position model. The record is from RNAcentral.
GAUGAACGCUGGCGGCGUGCCUAAUACAUGCAAGUCGAGCGAACAGACGAGGAGCUAGCUCCUCUGACGUUAGCGGCGGACGGGUGAGUAACACGUGGAUAACCUACCUAUAAGACUGGGAUAACUUCGGGAAACCGGAGCUAAUACCGGAUAAUAUAUUGAACCGCAUGGUUCAAUAGUGAAAGACGGUUUUGCUGUCACUUAUAGAUGGAUCCGCGCCGCAUUAGCUAGUUGGUAAGGUAACGGCUUACCAAGGCAACGAUGCGUAGCCGACCUGAGAGGGUGAUCGGCCACACUGGAACUGAGACACGGUCCAGACUCCUACGGGAGGCAGCAGUAGGGAAUCUUCCGCAAUGGGCGAAAGCCUGACGGAGCAACGCCGCGUGAGUGAUGAAGGUCUUCGGAUCGUAAAACUCUGUUAUUAGGGAAGAACAAAUGUGUAAGUAACUAUGCACGUCUUGACGGUACCUAAUCAGAAAGCCACGGCUAACUACGUG